GGACUACUAGGGUAUCUAAUCCUUUUUGCUCCCCACGCUUUCGCAUCUCAGAGUCAGGAAGGUCCCAGUGCACUGCCUUCGCCUUUGGUGUUCCCCACGAUAUCAACGGAUUUCACCCCUACACCGUGAGUUCCAUGCACCUCUAACCUCCUCUAGUCCGGUCGUAUCUCCUCCAUUUCCACCGUUAAGCAGUGGGCUUUAAAAGAAGACGCACCAAACCUCCUACAUGCGCUUUACGCCCAAUAAAUCCGGAUAACGCUUGAGGUCUACGUUUUACCGCGGCUGCUGGCAC
This 292-nucleotide ribosomal RNA is filed under the name uncultured bacterium. RNAcentral's name for it is "partial 16S ribosomal RNA". The record is from RNAcentral.